UGAUCCUGGCUCAGAUUGAACGCUGGCGGCAGGCCUAACACAUGCAAGUCGAACGGUAACAGAACUAGCUUGCUAGUUGCUGACGAGUGGCGGACGGGUGAGUAAUACUUAGGGAUCUGCCUCUGUGUGGGGGAUAACUAUUGGAAACGAUAGCUAAUACCGCAUAAUGUCUACGGACCAAAGAGGGCUUCGGCUCUCGCGCAGAGAGGAACCUAAGCGAGAUUAGCUAGUUGGUGAGGUAAAGGCUCACCAAGGCGACGAUCUCUAGCUGUUCUGAGAGGAAGAUCAGCCACACUGGAACUGAGACACGGUCCAGACUCCUACGGGAGGCAGCAGUGGGGAAUAUUGCACAAUGGGGGAAACCCUGAUGCAGCCAUGCCGCGUGUGUGAAGAAGGCCUUCGGGUUGUAAAGCACUUUCAGUUGUGAGGAAAGGUUAGUAGUUAAUACCUGCUAGCUGUGACGUUAACAACAGAAGAAGCACCGGCUAACUCCGUGCCAGCAGCCGCGGUAAUACGGAGGGUGCGAGCGUUAAUCGGAAUUACUGGGCGUAAAGCGCACGCAGGCGGUCUGUUAAGCUAGAUGUGAAAGCCCCGCGCUCAACGUGGGAGGGUCAUUUAGAACUGGCAGACUAGAGUCUUGGAGAGGGGAGUGGAAUUCCAGGUGUAGCGGUGAAAUGCGUAGAGAUCUGGAGGAACAUCAAUGGCGAAGGCAACUCCCUGGCCAAAGACUGACGCUCAUGUGCGAAAGUGUGGGUAGCGAACAGGAUUAGAUACCCUGGUAGU
This 783-nucleotide ribosomal RNA is filed under the name uncultured marine bacterium. Its description in RNAcentral is "bacterial SSU rRNA". It matches the Rfam family "Bacterial small subunit ribosomal RNA", at positions 14 to 794 of the family's 1533-position model. The record is from RNAcentral.